UGUUGGGUAGGGGAGCGUUCUGUAAGCCUGUGAAGGUGGCCUGUGAGGGUUGCUGGAGGUAUCAGAAGUGCGAAUGCUGACAUAAGUAACGAUAAAGCGGGUGAAAAGCCCGCUCGCCGGAAGACCAAGGGUUCCUGUCCAACGUUAAUCGGGGCAGGGUGAGUCGACCCCUAAGGCGAGGCCGAAAGGCGUAGUCGAUGGGAAACGGGUUAAUAUUCCCGUACUUGGUGUUACUGCGAAGGGGGGACGGAGAAGGCUAUGUUGGCCGGGCGACGGUUGUCCCGGUUUAAGCGUGUAGGUGUGUGUUCCAGGUAAAUCCGGUUCACUUUAACACUGAGGCGUGACGACGAGGCACUACGGUGCUGAAGCAACAAAUGCCCUGCUUCCAGGAAAAGCCUCUAAGCAUCAGGUAACAUCAAAUCGUACCCCAAACCGACACAGGUGGUCAGGUAGAGAAUACCAAGGCGCUUGAGAGAACUCGGGUGAAGGAACUAGGCAAAAUGGUGCCGUAACUUCGGGAGAAGGCACGCUGACACGUAGGUGAAGUGAUUUACUCAUGGAGCUGAAGUCAGUCGAAGAUACCAGCUGGCUGCAACUGUUUAUUAAAAACACAGCACUGUGCAAACACGAAAGUGGACGUAUACGGUGUGACGCCUGCCCGGUGCCGGAAGGUUAAUUGAUGGGGUCAGCGCAAGCGAAGCUCCUGAUCGAAGCCCCGGUAAACGGCGGCCGUAACUAUAACGGUCCUAAGGUAGCGAAAUUCCUUGUCGGGUAAGUUCCGACCUGCACGAAUGGCGUAAUGAUGGCCAGGCUGUCUCCACCCGAGACUCAGUGAAAUUGAACUCGCUGUGAAGAUGCAGUGUACCCGCGGCAAGACGGAAAGACCCCGUGAACCUUUACUAUAGCUUGACACUGAACAUUGAGCCUUGAUGUGUAGGAUAGGUGGGAGGCUUUGAAGCGUGGACGCCAGUCUGCGUGGAGCCGACCUUGAAAUACCACCCUUUAAUGUUUGAUGUUCUAACGUGGACCCGUGAUCCGGGUUGCGGACAGUGUCUGGUGGGUAGUUUGACUGGGGCGGUCUCCUCCUAAAGAGUAACGGAGGAGCACGAAGGUUGGCUAAUCCUGGUCGGACAUCAGGAGGUUAGUGCAAUGGCAUAAGCCAGCUUGACUGCGAGCGUGACGGCGCGAGCAGGUGCGAAAGCAGGUCAUAGUGAUCCGGUGGUUCUGAAUGGAAGGGCCAUCGCUCAACGGAUAAAAGGUACUCCGGGGAUAACAGGCUGAUACCGCCCAAGAGUUCAUAUCGACGGCGGUGUUUGGCACCUCGAUGUCGGCUCAUCACAUCCUGGGGCUGAAGUAGGUCCCAAGGGUAUGGCUGUUCGCCAUUUAAAGUGGUACGCGAGCUGGGUUUAGAACGUCGUGAGACAGUUCGGUCCCUAUCUGCCGUGGGCGCUGGAGAACUGAGGGGGGCUGCUCCUAGUACGAGAGGACCGGAGUGGACGCAUCACUGGUGUUCGGGUUGUCAUGCCAAUGGCACUGCCCGGUAGCUAAAUGCGGAAGAGAUAAGUGCUGAAAGCAUCUAAGCACGAAACUUGCCCCGAGAUGAGUUCUCCCUGAGACUUUAGGUCUCCUGAAGGAACGUUGAAGACGACGACGUUGAUAGGCCGGGUGUGUAAGCGCAGCGAUGCGUUGAGCUAACCGGUACUAAUGAACCGUGAGGCUUAACCUUACAAC
RNAcentral lists this ribosomal RNA (1731 nucleotides) under Salmonella enterica. Its description in RNAcentral is "partial 23S ribosomal RNA". It matches the Rfam family "Bacterial large subunit ribosomal RNA", at positions 1222 to 2925 of the family's 2925-position model. The record is from RNAcentral. Lineage: Bacteria; Pseudomonadati; Pseudomonadota; Gammaproteobacteria; Enterobacterales; Enterobacteriaceae.